UGUAAACAUCCUACACUCUCAGCUGUGGAAACUAAGAAAGCUGGGAGAAGGCUGUUUACUCUCUCUGCCUUG
This is a microRNA precursor of Taeniopygia guttata (zebra finch), 72 nucleotides long. Ensembl annotates it as tgu-mir-30c. Its record names the gene tgu-mir-30c. Lineage: Eukaryota; Metazoa; Chordata; Aves; Passeriformes; Estrildidae. The record is from Ensembl.